Long non-coding RNA from Cannabis sativa, 312 nucleotides. RefSeq lists it as uncharacterized. The record is from RefSeq and is a predicted model, not a curated record. The transcript has 3 exons. NCBI's taxonomy places the organism in Eukaryota, Viridiplantae, Streptophyta, Magnoliopsida, Rosales, Cannabaceae.
AUAUUUUUCUCACCAAUACCAUAACCCUACCUUACCUUCUCUUUCUAUAUCUCAAUCAACGAUCAGCAGCUCAAAGCAUUUCUUCAGCUUUUGUUGCAGAUCUCUCUUAAAGCAAAUGAAGAGUUAGUACAGGAAAAUAAAAAAUGAGUCAUUCUCCAACUCUGCUCAAUCCAAGCAAUUUACACAGAGGAAAACUUCAAAGUUCAGGGGUUGAUGAUUUCAUCUACCAUUUAGAGACUAAAAUGAAAAGUAAUCUCUACACUAUUUAAUUGCAAAACUUAUUUUUUUUGAAUUAUUUCCUUCCUUCUUUUC